Molecule: ribosomal RNA, 442 nt
Filed under: Bacillus sp. (in: firmicutes)
Lineage: Bacteria; Bacillati; Bacillota; Bacilli; Caryophanales; Bacillaceae
Description: bacterial SSU rRNA
Rfam family: Bacterial small subunit ribosomal RNA
Source: RNAcentral
AGCAGUAGGGAAUCUUCCGCAAUGGACGAAAGUCUGACGGAGCAACGCCGCGUGAGUGAUGAAGGUUUUCGGAUCGUAAAGCUCUGUUGUUAGGGAAGAACAAGUACCGUUCGAAUAGGGCGGUACCUUGACGGUACCUAACCAGAAAGCCACGGCUAACUACGUGCCAGCAGCCGCGGUAAUACGUAGGUGGCAAGCGUUGUCCGGAAUUAUUGGGCGUAAAGGGCUCGCAGGCGGUUCCUUAAGUCUGAUGUGAAAGCCCCCGGCUCAACCGGGGAGGGUCAUUGGAAACUGGGGAACUUGAGUGCAGAAGAGGAGAGUGGAAUUCCACGUGUAGCGGUGAAAUGCGUAGAGAUGUGGAGGAACACCAGUGGCGAAGGCGACUCUCUGGUCUGUAACUGACGCUGAGGAGCGAAAGCGUGGGGAGCGAACAGGAUUAGAU